UAGUUGGUGGGGUAAAGGCCUACCAAGGCGACGAUCAGUAGCGGGUCCGAGAGGAUGAUCCGCCACACUGGGACUGAGACACGGCCCAGACUCCUACGGGAGGCAGCAGUGGGGAAUUUUGGACAAUGGGGGCAACCCUGAUCCAGCCAUUCCGCGUGAGUGAAGAAGGCCUUCGGGUUGUAAAGCUCUUUCAGCUGGAACGAAACGGUACAUCCUAAUACGGUGUGCUAAUGACGGUACCAGCAGAAGAAGCACCGGCUAACUACGUGCCAGCAGCCGCGGUAAUACGUAGGGUGCGAGCGUUAAUCGGAAUUACUGGGCGUAAAGCGUGCGCAGGCGGAUUGUUAAGCAAGAUGUGAAAUCCCCGGGCUUAACCUGGGAAUGGCAUUUUGAACUGGCAGUCUAGAGUGCGUCAGAGGGGGGUGGAAUUCCACGUGUAGCAGUGAAAUGCGUAGAGAUGUGGAGGAACACCAAUGGCGAAGGCAGCCCCCUGGGAUGACACUGACGCUCAUGUACGAAAGCGUGGGUAGCAAACAGGAUUAGAUACCCUGGUAGUCCACGCCCUAAACGAUGUCAACUGGUUGUUGGGGGAGUGAAAUCCCUUAGUAACGAAGCUAACGCGUGAAGUUGACCGCCUGGGGAGUACGGUCGCAAGAUUAAAACUCAAAGGAAUUGACGGGGACCCGCACAAGCGGUGGAUGAUGUGGAUUAAUUCGAUGCAACGCGAAAAACCUUACCUACCCUUGACAUGUCCAGAACCCUGCAGAGAUGCGGGGGUGCCCGAAAGGGAAUUGGAACACAGGUGCUGCAUGGCUGUCGUCAGCUCGUGUCGUGAGAUGUUGGGUUAAGUCCCGCAACGAGCGCAACCCUUAUCACUAGUUGCUACGCAAGGGCACUCUAAUGAGACUGCCGG
This 913-nucleotide ribosomal RNA is filed under the name uncultured bacterium. RNAcentral describes it as "bacterial SSU rRNA". It matches the Rfam family "Bacterial small subunit ribosomal RNA", at positions 246 to 1155 of the family's 1533-position model. The record is from RNAcentral.